AGUGAACGCUGGCGGUAGGCCUAACACAUGCAAGUCGAACGGCCGCACAGUAAGAGCUUGCUCUUACGGGUGGCGAGUGGCGGACGGGUGAGGAAUACAUCGGCAUCUACUUUUUCGUGGGGGAUAACGUAGGGCCACUUACGCUAAUACCGCAUACGACCUACGGGUGAAAGCAGGGGAUCUUCGCACCUUGAGCGAUUGAAUGAGCCGAUGUCGGAUUAGCUAGUUGGCGGGGUAAAGGCCCACCAAGGCGACGAUCCGUAGCUGGUCUGAGAGGAUGAUCAGCCACACUGGAACUGAGACACGGUCCAGACUCCUACGGGAGGCAGCAGUGGGGAAUAUUGGACAAUGGGCGCAAGCCUGAUCCAGCCAUACCGCGUGGGUGAAGAAGGCCUUCGGGUUGUAAAGCCCUUUUGUUGGGAAAGAAAAGCAGCAUGUUAAUACCCCGCUGUUCUGACGGUACCCAAAGAAUAAGCACCGGCUAACUUCGUG
This 492-nucleotide ribosomal RNA is filed under the name uncultured bacterium. RNAcentral's name for it is "partial 16S ribosomal RNA". It matches the Rfam family "Bacterial small subunit ribosomal RNA", at positions 29 to 507 of the family's 1533-position model. The record is from RNAcentral.